This 2563-nucleotide ribosomal RNA is filed under the name Shigella flexneri. Its description in RNAcentral is "partial 23S ribosomal RNA". It matches the Rfam family "Bacterial large subunit ribosomal RNA", at positions 294 to 2843 of the family's 2925-position model. The record is from RNAcentral. Lineage: Bacteria; Pseudomonadati; Pseudomonadota; Gammaproteobacteria; Enterobacterales; Enterobacteriaceae. RNAcentral also lists the same sequence under 1 other name.
GGAGCAGCCCAGAGCCUGAAUCAGUGUGUGUGUUAGUGGAAGCGUCUGGAAAGGCGUGCGAUACAGGGUGACAGCCCCGUACACAAAAAUGCACAUACUGUGAGCUCGAUGAGUAGGGCGGGACACGUGGUAUCCUGUCUGAAUAUGGGGGGACCAUCCUCCAAGGCUAAAUACUCCUGACUGACCGAUAGUGAACCAGUACCGUGAGGGAAAGGCGAAAAGAACCCCGGCGAGGGGAGUGAAAAAGAACCUGAAACCGUGUACGUACAAGCAGUGGGAGCACGCUUAGGCGUGUGACUGCGUACCUUUUGUAUAAUGGGUCAGCGACUUAUAUUCUGUAGCAAGGUUAACCGAAUAGGGGAGCCGAAGGGAAACCGAGUCUUAACUGGGCGUUAAGUUGCAGGGUAUAGACCCGAAACCCGGUGAUCUAGCCAUGGGCAGGUUGAAGGUUGGGUAACACUAACUGGAGGACCGAACCGACUAAUGUUGAAAAAUUAGCGGAUGACUUGUGGCUGGGGGUGAAAGGCCAAUCAAACCGGGAGAUAGCUGGUUCUCCCCGAAAGCUAUUUAGGUAGCGCCUCGUGAAUUCAUCUCCGGGGGUAGAGCACUGUUUCGGCAAGGGGGUCAUCCCGACUUACCAACCCGAUGCAAACUGCGAAUACCGGAGAAUGUUAUCACGGGAGACACACGGCGGGUGCUAACGUCCGUCGUGAAGAGGGAAACAACCCAGACCGCCAGCUAAGGUCCCAAAGUCAUGGUUAAGUGGGAAACGAUGUGGGAAGGCCCAGACAGCCAGGAUGUUGGCUUAGAAGCAGCCAUCAUUUAAAGAAAGCGUAAUAGCUCACUGGUCGAGUCGGCCUGCGCGGAAGAUGUAACGGGGCUAAACCAUGCACCGAAGCUGCGGCAGCGACGCUUAUGCGUUGUUGGGUAGGGGAGCGUUCUGUAAGCCUGUGAAGGUGUGCUGUGAGGUAUGCUGGAGGUAUCAGAAGUGCGAAUGCUGACAUAAGUAACGAUAAAGCGGGUGAAAAGCCCGCUCGCCGGAAGACCAAGGGUUCCUGUCCAACGUUAAUCGGGGCAGGGUGAGUCGACCCCUAAGGCGAGGCCGAAAGGCGUAGUCGAUGGGAAACAGGUUAAUAUUCCUGUACUUGGUGUUACUGCGAAGGGGGGACGGAGAAGGCUAUGUUGGCCGGGCGACGGUUGUCCCGGUUUAAGCGUGUAGGCUGGUUUUCCAGGCAAAUCCGGAAAAUCAAGGCCGAGGCGUGAUGACGAGGCACUACGGUGCUGAAGCAACAAAUGCCCUGCUUCCAGGAAAAGCCUCUAAGCAUCAGGUAACAUCAAAUCGUACCCCAAACCGACACAGGUGGUCAGGUAGAGAAUACCAAGGCGCUUGAGAGAACUCGGGUGAAGGAACUAGGCAAAAUGGUGCCGUAACUUCGGGAGAAGGCACGCUGAUACGUAGGUGAAGCGACUUGCUCGUGGAGCUGAAAUCAGUCGAAGAUACCAGCUGGCUGCAACUGUUUAUUAAAAACACAGCACUGUGCAAACACGAAAGUGGACGUAUACGGUGUGACGCCUGCCCGGUGCCGGAAGGUUAAUUGAUGGGGUUAGCGCAAGCGAAGCUCUUGAUCGAAGCCCCGGUAAACGGCGGCCGUAACUAUAACGGUCCUAAGGUAGCGAAAUUCCUUGUCGGGUAAGUUCCGACCUGCACGAAUGGCGUAAUGAUGGCCAGGCUGUCUCCACCCGAGACUCAGUGAAAUUGAACUCGCUGUGAAGAUGCAGUGUACCCGCGGCAAGACGGAAAGACCCCGUGAACCUUUACUAUAGCUUGACACUGAACAUUGAGCCUUGAUGUGUAGGAUAGGUGGGAGGCUUUGAAGUGUGGACGCCAGUCUGCAUGGAGCCGACCUUGAAAUACCACCCUUUAAUGUUUGAUGUUCUAACGUGGACCCGUGAUCCGGGUUGCGGACAGUGUCUGGUGGGUAGUUUGACUGGGGCGGUCUCCUCCUAAAGAGUAACGGAGGAGCACGAAGGUUGGCUAAUCCUGGUCGGACAUCAGGAGGUUAGUGCAAUGGCAUAAGCCAGCUUGACUGCGAGCGUGACGGCGCGAGCAGGUGCGAAAGCAGGUCAUAGUGAUCCGGUGGUUCUGAAUGGAAGGGCCAUCGCUCAACGGAUAAAAGGUACUCCGGGGAUAACAGGCUGAUACCGCCCAAGAGUUCAUAUCGACGGCGGUGUUUGGCACCUCGAUGUCGGCUCAUCACAUCCUGGGGCUGAAGUAGGUCCCAAGGGUAUGGCUGUUCGCCAUUUAAAGUGGUACGCGAGCUGGGUUUAGAACGUCGUGAGACAGUUCGGUCCCUAUCUGCCGUGGGCGCUGGAGAACUGAGGGGGGCUGCUCCUAGUACGAGAGGACCGGAGUGGACGCAUCACUGGUGUUCGGGUUGUCAUGCCAAUGGCACUGCCCGGUAGCUAAAUGCGGAAGAGAUAAGUGCUGAAAGCAUCUAAGCACGAAACUUGCCCCGAGAUGAGUUCUCCCUGACCCUUUAAGGGUCCUGAAGGAACGUUGAAG